CAUUCUUCUUUAACCCAAUAUAAGUAUCUUUAUGUUGGAUAUAACUUCUAUUCGAAGUUUUAAGUUCAUGAUCUAUUGUACUGAUGAUGAGAGUUCUAGAACGCUUGUGAGGCUAUUGCUGAUAGUUUACAUUCAUGCAUUAUGAAUUCAUGAGUAUUAGUAAUGAUGCAAGUGCUCGAAGCGAUUAUUUUCUUGUCCCCAAGUCUGCCUACAAAAAAAUACCCUACAUUUAUUUUGUUGUCAUGUUUAUUUUAUUCUAGACUGUAAUGAAGAAUAUUGUGUAUGUUGAAAUUAGCUUGUUUGUUAUACGAAUGAGGCUGGUUCAUUUUGUGCUAUGUUCUUUCUUUUGUCAACAGAAUUGCAAAGGAUCCACGAUUUGAAAGGCUUCCUUGUAUUCACAAAGGAACUUAUGCUGAUGAUUGUCUUGUUGACAGGGUUACGCAGCACAAGUGCUGCAUUGUUGCAACCUGUGAUCGGGACCUGAAGAGGAGAAUCCGUAAGAUCCCUGGCGUGCCAAUUAUGUACAUUACAAAGCACCAAUAUUCCAUUGAACGUCUACCUGAGGCUA
Molecule: long non-coding RNA, 568 nt
Organism: Salvia miltiorrhiza (redroot sage)
Lineage: Eukaryota; Viridiplantae; Streptophyta; Magnoliopsida; Lamiales; Lamiaceae
Exons: 3
Source: RefSeq, a predicted model, not a curated record